GUGACAUCAUACAGACGCCUGCAAAGGACCACAUGGUCGUGAAGCAAAAUGAGCUUCAGAGCGCUGCUACAACCACAGCGUGAAUGAUCAAUCUAACCCAGAGUCAUGAGGACAUCUGCAUUACUACAGUGAGAAAAUUAUUACACCAAGUGCUGUUCAUCAAUAGAUGGAAGUGUCAUGGCAGACACCAUCUCUCUUUUCUCACCGGACAGAGAGGAAACAAGAUGGAGUGCCUCAAAGGAAUUCAGCAGCAGGUGUGUGUGUGCAUUAGGAGGACAGCAGGUUGAAAGCCUUCCUUCUUUCAACCUCCAGAAUCCAGCACACAUACACACAGUUGUGUGGCGAGCAUGCUCAGUAGCUUGCUUCAGUCAAGGUCAGUGCUGAGAGGCAGGUGAUGACAUCAUUACUACAGCAGCUCUGUUAUUUCACCGAUCAAUAGAGAAGCAGCAAUGAGUUCAUCUGAGCUAAUGCCAGAUGGCUGGAGCCACCCA
Long non-coding RNA from Megalobrama amblycephala (Wuchang bream), 491 nucleotides. RefSeq lists it as uncharacterized. The transcript is spliced from 3 exons. The record is from RefSeq and is a predicted model, not a curated record. NCBI's taxonomy places the organism in Eukaryota, Metazoa, Chordata, Actinopteri, Cypriniformes, Xenocyprididae.